This 902-nucleotide ribosomal RNA is filed under the name Biscogniauxia mediterranea. RNAcentral's name for it is "partial large subunit ribosomal RNA". It matches the Rfam family "Eukaryotic large subunit ribosomal RNA", at positions 34 to 961 of the family's 3401-position model. Lineage: Eukaryota; Fungi; Ascomycota; Sordariomycetes; Xylariales; Xylariaceae. The record is from RNAcentral.
CUAGCAUAUCAAUAAGCGGAGGAAAAGAAACCAACAGGGAUUGCCCUAGUAACGGCGAGUGAAGCGGCAACAGCUCAAAUUUGAAAUCUGGCCUUCGGGUCCGAGUUGUAAUUUGUAGAGGAUGCUUUUGGCGCGGUGCCUUCCGAGUUCCCUGGAACGGGACGCCUUAGAGGGUGAGAGCCCCGUACGGUUGGACACCAAGCCUCUGUAAAGCUCCUUCGACGAGUCGAGUAGUUUGGGAAUGCUGCUCUAAAUGGGAGGUAAAUUUCUUCUAAAGCUAAAUACCGGCCAGAGACCGAUAGCGCACAAGUAGAGUGAUCGAAAGAUGAAAAGCACUUUGAAAAGAGGGUUAAAUAGCACGUGAAAUUGUUGAAAGGGAAGCGUUUACGGCCAGACCUUUUCCUGGCGGAUCAUCUGGUGUUCUCACCAGUGCACUCCGCCAGGUUUAGGCCAGCAUCGGCUCCCGUAGGGGGAUAAAAGCAGUGGGAAAGUAGCUCCCUCGGGAGUGUUAUAGCCCGCUGCACAAUACCCUUACAGGGGCCGAGGACCGCGCUUUUGCAAGGAUGCUGGCGUAAUGGUCGUCAACGACCCGUCUUGAAACACGGACCAAGGAGUCGAACAUUUGUGCGAGUGUUUGGGUGUCAAACCCUCACGCGUAAUGAAAGUGAACGGAGGUGAGAGCCCUCUAGGGGGUGCAUCAUCGACCGAUCCUGAUGUCUUCGGAUGGAUUUGAGUAAGAGCAUAACUGUUCGGACCCGAAAGAUGGUGAACUAUGCGUGGAUAGGGUGAAGCCAGAGGAAACUCUGGUGGAGGCUCGCAGCGGUUCUGAUCGUGCAAAUCGAUCGUCAAAUCUGCGCAUGGGGGCGAAAGACUUAUCGAACCAUCUAGUAGCUGGUUACCGC